CUGUCCAUUACACCCAUGUACCUCCCAGGGACAUGCUUUGGAAAGAAUAAACCAGGAAAUCAGAGCCCAAGAACUGGCUCUCUGCUUGGAUCCUUCAGUCUCCAGGACCUCAAGGGACAACCAACAACUGAGUCCUUAAAGUUAACUCUGCCCUUGACCCGAGGUCAAGGUGAAAGUCUGCCCCUUCUGAGUAAGCCCUUGGAGAUUGUGGGCUAGAGUAACAGAAGGCAGGAGCUGGAGGAUACCAUCUGGUUCAUCUGCUUCACUUUACAGAAGAGGAAAGUUUGUACCUGAGAAGGUUCCUUUUUAGGAGGAAGAGGCAAAUAUCAUCAGCUGACAGGAUGGAACCAGUGUAAAACCCAGCUUCCAGGGCACAUUCUAAGAUGGUAACAGAUGCGAACAGGGACCAUACCUUAUCCUUCUUUAGAAGCCACAUUGGAGUUCACACAGUGCUUUGCACACAAAAUCAAGAGUCCAGGGUCAGAAGGGGCCCACUGGCCAUCUAGUCCUCUCCUAGAUGGAUAGGAGCCCUCUCUAAAAUACCCUUACAAAUAAAUGCUCAUUCAGCAGUUGUCUGAAGCCCUCCCCUGAGGGGAGGCUUGCUAAAUCAUGAGGCAGCUCUUUCCAGUUUUGGACAGCUCCAACUUCCAUCCACUACUCCUAUUUUUCUGCCCUUAUGGGGCCAGAUAGAUCAAGUGUAAUCCCUUUUCCAUGCACACACUGAGGCUCAUUUAUCUCCAUCAGAGUCUAGGGCAGUACCUAACAUAUAGUAGGUAUACAACAACACUAUUUGUUGAAUUGGACUUUUCUAGUGUCAUUUCUCCCAGUAGUUAACCAGGCAACAACUUGUUAAUGAAUCAAUAGAUCAAUAAACCUUAUUAAUUAGUAGCAGUAGCAGUAGCAGUAGUAGUAAUCACCUCCUGGUUUCAGAAAGACCGGGAUUCAAGUCACUCUGUUGACCCAUAUUGGCUCUGUGACCUUGGGAACAUUACUUAACCUCUCAGUGCCCCCAGGCAGCUCUAGGUCUCAGAAAGUCUUAGAGUCCAAGACCAUAAAUUGCAGAAAUCAUGUGCAUGAAGGAUGUACUUUCCUUAUCAGAAAUUCCCU
Molecule: non-coding RNA, 1107 nt
Organism: Phascolarctos cinereus (koala)
Lineage: Eukaryota; Metazoa; Chordata; Mammalia; Diprotodontia; Phascolarctidae
Source: RefSeq, a predicted model, not a curated record